Long non-coding RNA from Lagenorhynchus albirostris (white-beaked dolphin), 747 nucleotides. RefSeq lists it as uncharacterized. The record is from RefSeq and is a predicted model, not a curated record. Lineage: Eukaryota; Metazoa; Chordata; Mammalia; Artiodactyla; Delphinidae. The transcript has 3 exons.
UAGGAGUGAUGGAGUACAUUUAAGUUCUGACAAGUGGAAUGAAAUGGAAAGUGGUGUGCUCCGAAAGAAAAGAGAGACAGGAUUAUUCAGGAUUGCACAACUGGAUGAUUGUAUUAUUCGGGAUUGCACAACUGGAUGAUGGUAGGUUCUCUACUGAAACGUAAUGAAAACAUUCUGUUUUUAAAACAAAUUGUGAUGGGUGAUGAAAAGUGGAUAAUGUACAACAACGUGGAAUGGAAGAGAUUGUGGGGCAAGCGAAAUGAACCACCACCAACCACACCAAAUGCUGUCUUCAUCCAAAGAAGGUGAUGUUGUAUAUAUGGUGGGAUUGGAAGGGAGUCCUGUAUUAUGAGCUCCUUGCAGGAAACCAAACGAUUAAUUCCAACAAGUACUGCUCCCACUGAGACCAACUGAAAGCAGCACCCAACGAAAAGCAUCUAGAAUUAGUCAACAGAAUAUGUAUAAUCUUCCAUCAGGAUAAUGCAAGACCGCAUGUUUCUUUGAUGACCAGGCAAAAACUGUUACAGCUUGGGUGGGAAGUUCUGAUUCAUCUUCUGUAUUCACCAGACAUUGCACCUUCGGAUUUCCAUUUAUUUUGGCCUUUACAAAAUUCUCUUAAUGGAAAAAAUUUCAAUUCCCUGGAAGACUGUAAAAGGCACCUGGAACCGUUAUUUACUCAGAAAGAUAAAAAGUUUUGGGAAGAUGGAAUUAUGAAGUUGCCUGAAAAAUGGCAGAAGGUAGUGGAAC